AACAUAGUAGGUGUAUAGUAAAUGUAUGAUAAAUUUAAACAAUUCAACCAGUAUUUAUUGAGCACCUACUGUCU
This 74-nucleotide microRNA precursor is filed under the name Myotis lucifugus (little brown bat). RNAcentral describes it as "miRNA (ENSMLUG00000027278.1)". The record is from RNAcentral. Lineage: Eukaryota; Metazoa; Chordata; Mammalia; Chiroptera; Vespertilionidae.